UGGGGAACCUGCCCCAUAGUCUGGGAUACCACUUGGAAACAGGUGCUAAUACCGGAUAAGAAAGCAGAUCGCAUGAUCAGCUUUUAAAAGGCGGCGUAAGCUGUCGCUAUGGGAUGGCCCCGCGGUGCAUUAGCUAGUUGGUAAGGUAAAGGCUUACCAAGGCGAUGAUGCAUAGCCGAGUUGAGAGACUGAUCGGCCACAUUGGGACUGAGACACGGCCCAAACUCCUACGGGAGGCAGCAGCC
RNAcentral lists this ribosomal RNA (245 nucleotides) under uncultured Lactobacillus sp. RNAcentral's name for it is "partial 16S ribosomal RNA". It matches the Rfam family "Bacterial small subunit ribosomal RNA", at positions 118 to 355 of the family's 1533-position model. The record is from RNAcentral. Lineage: Bacteria; Bacillati; Bacillota; Bacilli; Lactobacillales; Lactobacillaceae.